Molecule: long non-coding RNA, 647 nt
Filed under: Brassica napus (rape)
Lineage: Eukaryota; Viridiplantae; Streptophyta; Magnoliopsida; Brassicales; Brassicaceae
Description: long non-coding RNA (BNAP_LNC027035)
Source: RNAcentral
UCAAGGUUUCACACAUAUCUUUGAAUCCACAUUUGAGAGCAAAGAAGCUGUAGCUGAGUACGUUGCUCAUCCUAUUCACGUUGAGUUCGCCAACAUGUUCCUAGGCAGCUUGGAUAAAGUGUUGGUUAUAGACUACAAGCCUACCUCUGUUUAGAUUCAUCAUCUUGUGAUCUAUUUUUUUUUUUUAUAGACUACAAGCCUACCUCUGUUUAGAUUCAUCAUCUUGUGAUCAAUUUUUUUUUUUAAAAUAAAGUAUGUUCCUUUUGAGGAAUCAUGGCCUUUUGUUUGCUUGUGUUGUUAUAAUGUUUCUGCCGAUCUCUUUCUUUUUUGUUGUAUCAGACAAUGUGUGUUUUCUUUUAUGGUUUGAGUACUUGUGGUUUCUUAAUUUCUUUUUUUUUUUUUUUUUUUUGUAUCAGACAAUGUGUGUUUUCUUUUAUGGUGUGAUUACUUGUGGUGUGGAUUUAUCUCUUUUACAUAUAAGGGGUGAUGUUUCGGUGAGAUUUCUCUCCCAGACACAACUUACGAGGUAAGGUGAAGCUAGCUAGGUGACCAGUGUGUAAUAGCGUUAUAGUGACUACUCAUUUUCUUCCCAACAAAGGAAAGUUUUCACCGGUCAACUCUUCCUUCCCGUUGGAAAACCCUAUUUC